UGGGGAAUAUUGCACAAUGGGGGAAACCCUGAUGCAGCGACGCCGCGUGAGCGAUGAAGGCUUUCGAGUCGUAAAGCUCUGUCCUAUGGGAAGAUAAUGACGGUACCAUAGAAGAAAGCCCCGGCUAAUUACGUGCCAGCAGCCGCGGUAAUACGUAAGGGGCGAGCGUUGUCCGGAAUUAUGGGGCGUAAAGAGUGCGUAGGCGGCAAAUUAAGUCAGAUGUGAAAACUAAGGGCUCAACCCAUAGAUUGCAUCUGAAACUGAUAUGCUUGAGUCAAGGAGAGGAAAGGGGAAUUCCUAGUGUAGCGAUGGAAUGCGUAGAUAUUAGGGGGAAUACCGGGGGCGAAGGCGACUUUCUGGACUUGAACUGACGCUGAGGCACGAAAGCGUGGGGAGCAAACAGG
Molecule: ribosomal RNA, 404 nt
Filed under: Verrucomicrobiota bacterium
Lineage: Bacteria; Pseudomonadati; Verrucomicrobiota
Description: Verrucomicrobia bacterium partial 16S ribosomal RNA
Rfam family: Bacterial small subunit ribosomal RNA
Source: RNAcentral